CAGGUCGACGAUUCCUACGGGAGGCAGCAGUGGGGAAUUUUGGACAAUGGGGGAAACCCUGAUCCAGCCAUCCCGCGUGUGCGAUGAAGGCCUUCGGGUCGUAAAGCACUUUUGGCAGGAAAGAAACGUCAUGGGUUAAUACCCCGUGAAACUGACGGUACCUGCAGAAUAAGCACCGGCUAACUACGUG
This 190-nucleotide ribosomal RNA is filed under the name uncultured bacterium. Its description in RNAcentral is "partial 16S ribosomal RNA". It matches the Rfam family "Bacterial small subunit ribosomal RNA", at positions 325 to 507 of the family's 1533-position model. The record is from RNAcentral.